GGGCAAGAUUAAAUGCACCAGUAGUGUUGUGUGUAGUGAUUGUAUUUGCUUGACUUUAUUAGUUUGCAGAGGAAUCAUCCAGGAGCCCUUGCCGACCAGAAUAUGCAGAAGUGGAUGUGAGCAGCCUGGAAAUCCUUCUAAGGAGACCUCAACAGUCCUCAGGUUUUUGCCUUCUGCCUAACUGGCUCUGAGUAAGCGUAGCAAGAGAAAAGAAGUCACAGGCCAGAGUCUACUGCCCUCGUGCAAUGGAAAGAGAGCAAGAGCGAUGAGUCUGCAAGCGUUGUUGAUGCGAGGCAGAAGGCGUCCAUCUGGGAGCGGAACUGCCACCACUCUCAAUAAGAUAAGUGUCUUCUUUGGUGAUUGCUCUGCUCAAAGCCCAUCUUGCUCCUGGUAGGGACGCCCCGUAAGCUGGGGCUGGGUUUGUAAGAAAAGGUUCCUGACUAGUUGUGGUUACAAGGGAGACGAUGUCCCCAUUUUCAGGGGCUGCUCAUGUCUCUGGCCAGGACCAGUGUGUCCUCCGCAGCAUAUUAGAUCCAGGGGGAUGACUCCAGCUGUGAGGGCUCUUGGUUGGCUUAUUUGCUGCACUUGUAGAGGAAUUAUCCAGGAGCAGCAGCCGGAGGAGAAAUUGGCAGACGUGGGCCUGAGGAGCCUGGACAUUCUUCUAAGGAGACAUGAACAGUCCUCAGCUUUCUGCCUCGUGCAUAGCUGGCUGUGGGUAAGUGGUCAGUGCUUGGAAUUCCUCAUCUGUACUUGCUGUGAUUUUCUUCACACUUUGUUUGCUUCCUUGUUGGGUGUGGGGCUCUUUGGGAUUAAGGCUGGGGAAGGGACCAGAGUCACAAUUGCUAACUUUCACUGGGGAAAUAAGCACCCCGACUUUGACAAUAAGCCAAAAAUCAAGAUAAACCCAUUUGAAAACAAGGCCAAAACAAGCCAAUCCCUAAGAACCCCAACACUCAAUGACUAGAUCUCCCCUGGCGUGCAGUCUGGGACUGUGGUGGGCCCGCUGUGCACCUCAACUAGCCCUCCCCUUUGCUCCUCCUUGUCCGUGCUUGCUGGAAGCAAAAAGCUACAAGAAGCAAUAAGUUACAAGCCAAAAAGAAGCACAAUUUCUACGUGUUUUCCCCACAGGUUCGGUGUGUCUGACCAGAGUCAUCUGUGCAGAGUGACUAUUUCAGGUGUCGUCACAAGGGGUGCUUUCUACUUGUAGUCAUAAAGGCGUGAUGGGAGGAAGAUUCAGGGCAGAGCCCCACCAUGUGGGAGAGGCGAAAAGAAGCGGCUACCCAACAUUGCCAAUUGAGCUGGUGACUGACUUGUUUUUCCGCUGGUUUUAGUACCAAGAGAAAAGAAGUGACAAGUCAGAGUCUACUGCCCUCAUGCAAUGGAAAGCGAGCGAGAGUGAUGGGACUGCGAGAAUUAUUGAUGCCUUGAAAAAGCCGUCCAACUGGGAAUGGAAUAGUCAUCACUGUCAAUGAGAUAAGUGUCUGUUUUGGUGAUUGCUCUGCUCACGGCCCACCUUGCUCCUGAAAGGGAUGCCCCGUUUGCUGAGGCUGUUUGUAAGAAAAGGUUCCUGACUAGCUGUGGUUUUGAGAGAGAGAAGAUCCCCAUUUUUAGGGGCUGCUCAGUUUUCUGGCCAGGAGCAGUGUGUCCUACGCAGCAGAAAGUUGCAUCUAGGAGAAUGAGUCCAGGUGGUGAAUUGCUUGCCUUUCUCUUGUGUUUCUCUCUCUUCUCUAGUGUGUUGGCCAACACUCUUUCUCAAUCUGUCCUUGCCUUUCCUUGUGCUGUCUCCCUUCUUAGGAUAUUGGCAGCCGAGCUAGGUGUGCACCCCCACAGGUUGUGUCUUGGGAGCCAUAAAGAAGUAGGAGGGGACAAAAAUCAUGCAGGGCAGUCGGUGCGAGACUGGAACAGUGACUGUUGGUGUUGUGGGGCUAAGACAGAUUGAAAGCGAUGCAGGGAAGAGGGCCUUAAUUGGGCUCUAUGUAGUGCAGGAGUUCUCAAACUGGGGUUUAGGUCCCGUCAGGGGGCCGCAAGGUUGUUAUUUGGGGGUUGUGAAAUGUCAUCCUCCAUCCUAAACAUCACUUGGCUUCCAGCAUUUAUAAUGGUGUUGAAUAUACAAAAAGUGUUUUUAAUUUAUAAGAGGAGGGUCACACUCAGAAGCUUUCUAUGUAAAAGGGAUCAUCAGUACAAAAGGUUGAGAACCACUGGUGUAGUGAUAGUUCUUGCUUGCCUUUAUUAGCUUGCAGAGGAAUUGUCCAGGAGUCUCAGCUGGAGAAGAAGCUGGCAGAAGUGGACCUGAACUGCCUGGACAUCCUUCUAAGGAGACAUGAACAGUCCUCAGCUUUCUGCAUUCUGGAUAACUGGCUAUGAGUAAGAACAGUCACACAUCAGAGUCUACUGCCCUCAUGCGAUGGAAAGUGAGUGAGAGCAGAGAGCCUGUGAGCAUUGUUCAUGCCAGGCAACAGCCGUCAAUGUGGGGGUCGAGCAGACGCCACUGUCACUGAGAUAAGUGUCUGUUUUGCUGAGGGUUCUGCUCAUGGCCCAUAUCAGUUUCUUGCCUUUCUCUGUGUUUCUCUCUCUCUCUCUUACUCUCUUCUCUAGUGUGUUGGCCAACACUCUCUGUCUCUGUCCUUGCCUCUCCUUGUGCUGUCUGCCUUCAUAGGACACGGGCAGGAGUGCUAGGUGUGCAU
Molecule: long non-coding RNA, 2684 nt
Organism: Mauremys reevesii (Reeves's turtle)
Lineage: Eukaryota; Metazoa; Chordata; Testudines; Geoemydidae
Exons: 4
Source: RefSeq, a predicted model, not a curated record